CGCUUACGCCAUACCAACCUGGCUAUGCCCGAUCUCGUCUGCUCUCGGAAGCUAAGCAGGUUUGGGCCUGGUUAGUACUUGGAUGGGGAGGAGCCGCCUGGGAGAUACAGGUGCUCGAGAGA
RNAcentral lists this ribosomal RNA (122 nucleotides) under Carassius auratus (goldfish). Lineage: Eukaryota; Metazoa; Chordata; Actinopteri; Cypriniformes; Cyprinidae. The record is from RNAcentral.